UAGUCCACGCUGUAAACGAUGAGAACUAGCCGUUGGAUUCUUUACUGGAUUUAGUGGCGCAGCUAACGCGAUAAGUUCUCCGCCUGGGGAGUACGGCCGCAAGGUUAAAACUCAAAUGAAUUGACGGGGGCCCGCACAAGCGGUGGAGCAUGUGGUUUAAUUCGAAGCAACGCGAAGAACCUUACCUGGCCUUGACAUCCUGCGAACUUGGGAGAGAUUCCUUGGUGCCUUUCGGGAGCGCGGAGACAGGUGCUGCAUGGCUGUCGUCAGCUCGUGUUGUGAAAUGUUGGGUUAAGUCCCGUAACGAGCGCAACCCUUGUCCUUAUUUGCCAGCACUUCGGGUGGGAACUUUAGGGAGACUGCCGGUGACAAACCGGNGGAAGGUGGGGACGACGUCAAGUCAUCAUGGCCCUUACGGGCCAGGGGCUACACACGUGCUACAAUGGGGACGUACAGAGGGGUGGCGAAGCCGCGAGGGUGAAGCUAAUCUCA
Molecule: ribosomal RNA, 492 nt
Filed under: uncultured bacterium
Lineage: Bacteria
Description: bacterial SSU rRNA
Rfam family: Bacterial small subunit ribosomal RNA
Source: RNAcentral